UGGGGAAUCUUGCACAAUGGGGGCAACCCUGAUGCAGCGACGCCGCGUGAGCGAUGAAGCCCUUCGGGGCGUAAAGCUCUUUCGACCGGAACGAUAAUGACGGUACCGGGAGAAGAAGCUGCGGCUAACUACGUGCCAGCAGCCGCGGUAAUACGUAGGGUGCGAGCGUUUAUCGGAAUUACUGGGCGUAAAGCGUGCGCAGGCGGUUUUGUAAGACAGAUGUGGAAUCCCGGGGCUUAACUUGGGAACUGCGUUUGUGACUGCAAGGCUAGAGUACGGCAGAGGGGGGUGGAAUUCCACGUGUAGCAGUGAAAUGCGUAGAGAUGUGGAGGAACACCGAUGGCGAAGGCAGCCCCCUGGGCCUGUACUGACGCUCAUGCACGAAAGCGUGGGGAGCAAACA
RNAcentral lists this ribosomal RNA (402 nucleotides) under uncultured bacterium. RNAcentral's name for it is "bacterial SSU rRNA". It matches the Rfam family "Bacterial small subunit ribosomal RNA", at positions 355 to 774 of the family's 1533-position model. The record is from RNAcentral.